AACGAACGCUGGCGGUAUGCCUAACACAUGCAAGUCGAACGGUAGCAGGGACUUCGGUCCGCUGACGAGUGGCGAACGGGUGCGUAACACGUGGAUUACCUGCCUCAAGAUGGGGGAUAACGACUGGAAACAGUUGCUAAUACCGCAUACGCCCUACGGGGUAAAGGCUUCGGCCGUCUUGAGAGGGGUUCGCGCCGGAUUAGCUAGUUGGUGAGGUAAUGGCUCACCAAGGCAACGAUCCGUAGCUGGUCUGAGAGGAUGAUCAGCCACACUGGGACUGAGACACGGCCCAG
Molecule: ribosomal RNA, 293 nt
Filed under: uncultured bacterium
Lineage: Bacteria
Description: partial 16S ribosomal RNA
Rfam family: Bacterial small subunit ribosomal RNA
Source: RNAcentral